UACGGAGGGAGCUAGCGUUGUUCGGAAUUACUGGGCGUAAAGCGCGCGUAGGCGGUUACUCAAGUCAGAGGUGAAAGCCCGGGGCUCAACCCCGGAACUGCCUUUGAAACUAGGUAACUAGAAUCUUGGAGAGGUCAGUGGAAUUCCGAGUGUAGAGGUGAAAUUCGUAGAUAUUCGGAAGAAACACCAGUGGCGAAGGCGACUGACUGGACAAGUAUUGACGCUGAGGUGCGAAAGCGUGGGGAGCAAACAGGG
Molecule: ribosomal RNA, 255 nt
Filed under: uncultured bacterium
Lineage: Bacteria
Description: partial 16S ribosomal RNA
Rfam family: Bacterial small subunit ribosomal RNA
Source: RNAcentral